CGCACCUUGCACCUUUUGGCAUUCCGAAAGGUACAUCUGUUUGAGUGUCAUGAAUCCCUCAACCUCUACAUUUCCUCGCGAUGUGUACGAGCGUUGGAUGUUGAGCGAUGUUGUUCCGCGAACAGCUCGCUUUAAAUUGAUCAGCAAUCUCGAUAGUGCUCGGAUUGACCCGACGUGAUAAGAUCUUCGUUGGGAAAUGCUUUCGUUAGCAGCCGGUUAACUAUAUGAGUCGCUCCUAAAUUGUUCAUGCUUCUGGCAUGGAACAUCCUACCUUUAGACCUCAAAUCAGAUGGGACUACCCGCUGAACUUAA
RNAcentral lists this unclassified non-coding RNA (312 nucleotides) under Septobasidium ramorum. RNAcentral's name for it is "partial contains 5.8S ribosomal RNA, internal transcribed spacer 2, and large subunit ribosomal RNA". Lineage: Eukaryota; Fungi; Basidiomycota; Pucciniomycetes; Septobasidiales; Septobasidiaceae. The record is from RNAcentral.